This 247-nucleotide long non-coding RNA is filed under the name Setaria viridis. RNAcentral's name for it is "long non-coding RNA (SVIR_LNC004027)". The record is from RNAcentral. Lineage: Eukaryota; Viridiplantae; Streptophyta; Magnoliopsida; Poales; Poaceae.
AGAUUUCCAUAGUAGAAGCGUUGAGAAAAAGGUUUCUAACUUGUUUCAUGUAAUCUGUACCAGGUUUGAGUUUGGGGGUAAAAACCAUCUCUGAAUGAUUGACUGAAUGCCUGUUGGUGUGUUGUCACACCUGGAUGUAUUACCUCCUGUUGGUGUGUUCUGCAUUUAUUUUUGCCAUCUGACGUGUUCUAUGCUGCUACACAAUUUCCAAUGUCUCCCUCUCCACCAAGUGACAUGUAAGAUCUUC